RNAcentral lists this ribosomal RNA (466 nucleotides) under uncultured bacterium. RNAcentral's name for it is "bacterial SSU rRNA". It matches the Rfam family "Bacterial small subunit ribosomal RNA", at positions 8 to 521 of the family's 1533-position model. The record is from RNAcentral.
AGAGUUUGAUCCUGGCUCAGGAUGAACGCUGGCGGCGUGCUUAACACAUGCAAGUCGAACGAACCUUCGGGUUAGUGGCGGACGGGUGAGUAACGCGUGAGAAUCUGCCCUCAGGAGGGGGAUAACGGUUGGAAACGACCGCUAAUACCCCAUAUGCCUAUUGGUGAAAUGAAUUUCGCCUGAGGAUGAGCUCGCGUCUGAUUAGCUAGUUGGUGAGGUAAUUGCUCACCAAGGCUUCGAUCAGUAGCUGGUCUGAGAGGAUGAUCAGCCACACUGGGACUGAGACACGGCCCAGACUCCUACGGGAGGCAGCAGUGGGGAAUUUUCCGCAAUGGGCGAAAGCCUGACGGAGCAACGCCGCGUGAGGGACGAAGGCCUCUGGGCUGUAAACCUCUUUUCUCAAGGAAGAAGAUAUGACGGUACUUGAGGAAUAAGCCACGGCUAAUUCCGUGCCAGCCGCCGCGGU